CCUCAGCCUGGUUGGUAAUCAGGUGGCGAGUGCAAGUGUACAAGGGAGCUUGACUGUGAGACCGACGGGUCGAGCAGGUGCGAAAGCAGGAACUAGUGAUCCGGCCAUGGCACGUGGGUGCGUGGUCGCUCAACGGAUAAAAGGUACCCCGGGGAUAACAGGCUGAUCUUGCCCAAGAGUCCAUAUCGACGGCAUGGUUUGGCACCUCGAUGUCGGCUCGUCGCAUCCUGGGGCUGGAGUUGGUCCCAAGGGUUGGGCUGUUCGCCCAUUAAAGCGGUACGCGAGCUGGGUUCAGAACGUCGUGAGACAGUUCGGUCCCUAUCCUCUGUGCGCGCAGGAAAUUUGAGAAGGGCCGUCCCUAGUACGAGAGGACCGGGAUGGACGAACCUCUGGUGUGCCAGUUGUACCGCCAGGUGCAUGGCUGGUUAGCUACGUUCGGAAGGGAUAACCGCUGAAAGCAUCUAAGCGGGAAGCCUGCUUCAAGAUGAGAUUUCCACGCCCCCCCGUGGGGUGAGAGGCCCCCGCCAGACUAGCGGGUCGAUAGGCCAGAGGUGGAAGCACAGCAAUGUGCUCGCGAGCCGACUGGUACUAAUGGGCCAACACUAAACAAC
Molecule: ribosomal RNA, 611 nt
Filed under: Schaalia dentiphila ATCC 17982
Lineage: Bacteria; Bacillati; Actinomycetota; Actinomycetes; Actinomycetales; Actinomycetaceae
Description: bacterial LSU rRNA
Rfam family: Bacterial large subunit ribosomal RNA
Source: RNAcentral